This 156-nucleotide ribosomal RNA is filed under the name uncultured bacterium. RNAcentral's name for it is "partial 16S ribosomal RNA". It matches the Rfam family "Bacterial small subunit ribosomal RNA", at positions 355 to 509 of the family's 1533-position model. The record is from RNAcentral.
UGAGGAAUAUGGUCAAUGGCCGGAAGGCUGAACCAGCCAAGCCGCGUGAAGGACGAAGGUGCCAAGCAUUGUAAACUUCUUUUGUCAAGGGACAAAAUCAGGCUCGAGAGCCUGACCGAGGGUACUUGAAGAAAAAGCAUCGGCUAACUCCGUGCC